CUACCCCACACUAGGGGUGCCCAGUCCCUCUUCUCCUACCCCACACUAGGGGUGCCCAGUCCCCCUUCUUCUACCCCACACUAGGGGUGCCCAGUCUCCCUUCUUCUACCCCACACUAGGGGUGCCAAGUCACCCCUUCUCCUAUCCCACACUAGGGGUGCCCAGUCCCCCUUCUUCUACCCCACACUAGGGGUGCCCAGUCUCCCUUCUUCUACCCCACACUAGGGGUGCCAAGUCACCCCUUCUCCUAUCCCACACUAGGGGUGCCCAGUCCCCCCUUCUUCUACCCCACACUAGGGAUACCCAGUCCCCCUUCUCCUACCCCACACUAGGGGUGCCCAGUCCCCUUCUUCUACCCCACACUAGGGGUGCCCAGUCCCCGGUCCUCUUGCCUGGCUGGCACUGCUUACUGAGCUGGUGACAUACCUCCCUUGGGCCUAUCUCCUAAGAGUCACAGUAAAGGCUAUUUCCGUGGAGAGAUGGCUAUUCACGUUCAAGGACCUGACCCUUCCUUAGGAGACCAUGGGCCAAAUGGAAUAAGCAGUGACAGGUGAGAUGUGCUGAGCAGGGACACUGGAAGGGCUACACUGCUGGUGGCGUAGUUUCCCCAACCCACCUCUCCCUUGCCCUUCAGGCUAGCACUCAUGCCUGCUGGCUUAUGGUCACCCACAGUGAUCAGCCUUGGGGACCCAGCAUUACUCUCAACCUCAUCAUAUCUAUGAGUGACCCUUUCUGGAAACAGCCGUGGGAACUAAUUCUGGCUGGCUCCUGCCCGCUGAACCCCAAGGCUGCUGUUGAACACUUCCCUCUGCCUUGAGUGCCUGCUACUUUAGAAAGCCUCCAUUCCCUGGAACCCUGGUGAAGGCGUCAUGGGCCCUACGUGUCACGCCUGGAGACACAAGUGAAGCCCCUUAGGUCUGUUUCCAAUGUUUCCUAUGCUGCCAGCAUUUCAGAGAUGGAGAGGACACAGCCUUUACCCUAACUGUUACAGUCUUCGUUGGGAGGCCAAGGAACCCCACCCCAUCACUCUCCUUCCUCAGACUAGGCAGGGAGGGUAAGCUGGUAGAGGAGUGGAUUGGGCUGGCAGGGUGAAGAAUGAAGGCUGAUUGAGGGGCCUGGACAGUCUCUGGGUCUCUUUAGUAUUCUGGAACCUCAAACACCAAAUGAAAUCCACCUUUCUUCUUCUGGUCCCAGUCGUUUGGGUCGGGGGGGUUCUUUAAAGUUCUGUUCAUAUCCUGGGCUUCAAAAAACAAAAGGGUAUUCUCCUGCAGUUCUGUAAACAGGAGUGAAGCCCAGGCAGCCACAGGCCCCGAGGAUCUUUUCUACUUCAUGGCCAACAGCCCUGCUGUCCUUAGCUUACCACAGCGCCUGAGCCUCUGCCUCAGUUGUCACCGUGUCUACCUGCUGGGCUCAGGGAUGCCCUAUUGGUUGGCAGAACAUGAUCUUACAAUGUGAUGCCGAGAAGCUGGCAUUGAACCACAGAGAUCUCCCUCUCUAUGUGGCUGACGCCAUCCAAUUCAGGAGAUCCUGAACAGAGAGACAGUAAGGAUUGGAGGUCUCUAUGAGAACCAGGAGAUCUGUCACCUCUGGCCCUUGGCCAUUAUAACUCUACUCCCAGCAAUUGAGCUUUGGACUCACUGAAUCACACCAGGCUUUUUCCUUCUGGCUUGCAGGCAGCAGAGUGUGGGACUUCUUGGCCUCCACACUCACAUGGACCAAUGCCUGUAAAAUACCCCAUCUCUCAGCUCCCUCUCCAGCCCACUGCUUUUGUUUGCCCGGAAACCAGGGUGAUACACACAGCACUCUUGCUUUAUCUGUCUGCGUCAAGAUGUCCUCUUUAGAAAUAAUUUUGAAAUUUUAUUUUUAAUGAUGUGUAUAUCUUUAUGUGGGCAUGUCGCAAAAGUGUGGGGGCUCUCAGGGGCCAGGGGUGCUGGAUCCCCUGGAGCAGAGUUACACCCCGCCAGAUUCGAGUGUCAGAAUUGAACUCAAAUCCUCUGCAAAGCAGCUCAUAACUUGGUCACCUCAGUGUGAAGACCAUAGCUCCUAUUUCAAAAUCAGGUCACAAGCGUGGUGCUGGGGUUAAGACGUUCACACUUUGGGAAUUUUUGGAGACACAACUUAACUCACAGGAGUCACAAAUCACAUAUUUCCUUCUAGGUACACAGAAAGUGACUUCUUAGGGUUUGUGGGAUAGCUCAUAGACCAGGCUAGGCUUCCGUGAGCAAUGUCUAGGGCCCUGCCAGCGCUGGCCCUGGUAAUAGGUCAGCUGCCCUGUCAUCCCCAGACACUGCCACCAAUGGCAGAGAUAGACUUCCUGGUUCGACCGGAAUGAGGUACAGCAGAAAAGUUGUCUCAUCAGCUCACCGGUGCCCCGGUGCCAGCCCCUCGUCUGCUUGACUGGAUUUGGAAUCCCUUAGGAGACAAACCAUUGGAGAUCCCUGAGAGGGUCUUCCUAAAGGUGGCACCAUCCCAUGGGCAAGAGUCAGACUGCAUAAAAUGCGAAAGUGAGCACUCAGCUGUCUCAGCUUCCUGACUGAGGGAGCAACAUUAGCAGUUGCCUCCUAUUCCUGCAGCUAGUGCAUACUGACACACUUCCCCUCCAUGACGGGUAUCUACAGACCCUCGAGCUGUGAGCCAAACAGAGCCCAUCUUCCUCAAGUUGAUCUCGUCAGACUAUUAAUGUAAUCUUCCGUGAGCGGGAAGAAGAGGAACGUCUCACAGACCGCCUCAUCAAAAGACGGUGGGCAGGGACAUUAAUUAAGCUCCCAACGCUGCGGCUCCACUUGUGCCACAGCAGUGGCAACGUGCUUGAGGCCACAGGAGAGAAGCCAUAGAGCUGUGAAGAUGCUAGUUAGCCCUGUGCUGCUGCUUUUCCUACAGAGACGUGAGCACAUAUCUGUGGCCAUUGUAGAUUAAUCCACUCUCAUCUCCCCUGCAGCGGCGGCACGAGUACCUUGCUACUGCCCCAGUGUUGUGGAUUCUCCAAUGAAAGACACUCGAGGAAGACGCACGCACAUGCACGCACGUCUUACACGCGGCAUUCUCAUGUAAUGUUUUUGGGAACCCACUUAAAAUGAUACAAGCAAUAAACCAAAUCCCCAACACAUAUUUCACUCCAGACAGGACACCAACAGACCUCAGAAACAAUUCCACCUACAUCCAGAUGGAUAAGCCAAUUUAUUUUAGAGAAGUUACUUACGGGAACAUGGGUAAAUUAAAGGCAGCUGAAAAACCAAAACAGCCCACCAACCCAUGGGGGACCACUCGCACACCUCCAUCCCCCGAGCUUCCUGCCCAACCUGCAUGCAACGCCACCAAGAGUCUUCUCCCUCCAGAAAUUACUCAUUGCUUACAGAACCAGGAGGAGGAGAAGGCCUUUUGAGUCUUAUAAUUUUAUGAGUCUCCCUCCGUGUGUGUGUGUGUGUGUGUGUGUGUGUGCAUGUGUGGGUGUAUGUGUGUCUGUGUGUUUCAAUUUGGAGAAAAUAUCUACACAACACUUUGGCACAGCUGGACUGCUGAGGUAUGAUCAGCCACACCGGCCUCAAACCAAUGCACUAUUUCAUAAACGAUGCUACGUGAAGCCAUUAUACAUACACUCAUUCAUAUACGCACAUGCCCCUCCAUGCGCCCCUAGCUGGUCAGUACACCUAUCCACUCUCCCACCUACAUGCUGAACCUCCACCUACCCAGUCAUUCAUAUCCUACAGUUAACCGAGGCAAAGCAAACACGUGACAUGGUUAGAUUUACCAGAGAACAAAGAGGCACAGGGACUCUGGAUAUGGCUGUGGAUAUAGAGAUGAAGGAACUGACUACAGGGAGGUCGGGGAGGUGUUGGCUGUCAGAAGUGGUAUCUGGGGAUGCAACACUUUUCAGGAUCUCUCAGUCCACAGCUAGCUGUCAUGGAGCUUGGAAGGGGCAUAGCUUUCCUCCUAGACCUCGUGUGCUUUUGCCUUUGGGGAUAGGGUCAGGGUUCUUUCCCACAUCAGUCUCCUCGCUGUGGAGAAGCAGCCACACCCAUUGAACUGCCUGCCAGCUGUCUGCAACAUCACAGUGAGGACCAAGGUGGGUCCGCAGCAGCCGUACCACGAGCACCGUGGUGGUCUGAAUGAGAAUGGCUCCCAUGGGCUGUUUGGACGCUUGGUUUCCAGAGAGUAGAACUGUUUAGGAAGGCUUAGGAGGUGUGGCCUUGUUGGAGGAGAUGUGUCACUGGGCAUCGGGGGCAGGGUUUGAGGUUUCAAAAGCGCAUGACAUUCCUGAUUAGCCUUCUGCCUCGUGCUUGUGGACCAGAUGUGAGCUCUCGGCUACUGCUCCAAAGCCAUGUCUGCCUGCCCACUGCCAUGUUCCCCACCGAGACGGUCAUGGACUCUAUCCCAAUAAACUCCUCCAUAAGCUACUUUGGUAACUUAGCAACAGAAAAGGAACUAAGACAAACACCUUCCCCAGAGUGAGUCCGGCCAGGCUGACUGCAGGAGUCCUGUUCAUGGACUAGGACAUGGGAAGAUCCUUUCUGCUCUAAGUGGGAAUUGCCCUAGGCAAUGCUGGGGCCAGGAUCAGCGCACCCCAGAUACUUCAGUGAAAAGCAAGAUAAGGUAGCCAGUACUCAUCGUUUGAACUGAGGUUCCAGAGAAGGCAUAAGACCUGCAUAAAACAAAAGCUGGUUAAAACCAUCACUACAUGGGCUCUCUGUUGCUAACUGAUUCACAGGGGAAUCUUUGUUAAAGAUUCCACAAAGCUGAUAUGUUUGAGUGGGCCUUCCAUGAUCGUGGAGGGUUGGAAUGUUUCAGAUCUCAAGCUGAUUUCUCUUGGAUUAUUUAUUUGGUCCCCCUCACUAGCCAGUCAUUGAAUUGCCUCAACAGACCACAUCGGGUUCCAUUAAUCCACAGCUAAGUGUUAUCAGCCUCUGAGAUCUACAGCAGAGACUCACGGUGCUGUAACCUGCCUACCUGAUAAUUGCACCAAUGUAAAAAUGCCUUGACUUCGUGAAAUUGUUACACUGAACACAGCACGAGGGUAACCAGAUCUGUGUACCCUUGCCAUGGUCACUCAUAUUUGGAUCCAGAAUAAGCUUACUCCCUUUGAAGUAAGAAUGGUUUUACACCAACCAUCAGCCUCUGACCUCCACCAAGGACAGAGUUGGCCUGUAACUCCCUGCAGCUCCUCUGUGCCUCAGGUUCUGCUUUCACAGCGGUGGUUUCAGUGUCCCCUCAACAGGGAGGCAACCAUUAAUCCAACGGUUCGCCUCCCUUCUUUCCUCCCUCCGUCAUUCCCACAGGUACGCAAGCAUAACGAGGUGUCAGGCCCUCCUGACGGCUCUGCAGAUACAAAGUGGAACAAAUCCCACGCGGCCUCCAUCCUCGCGGACGCUCCAAGGCAUGAGUGACCACAGGAAGCACGGAACGAGCUUCUGCAGGGCUCGCGCUUCCACCCGGCGUUCCAGUCCGCCACACCGCCCGGAGGCCGCGUGAUGCGGGAACACGGGAGGAGGAGUGCGCCUGCGUGAAGGCGCUGCGCCUGCGCAGAUGGUGUGCAGAAGGCCGCGAGUGUUUAGGGUCGCGAGGUGGAAGUUUGCUGCAGUCGCCACGGUGUUCUGGAGAGUGCUGCGCCGCCACGGUGUUCUGGAGAGUGCUGCGCCGGAAGUUGCCGAACUGGAAGCAACCCAGAUGCCCAGCACCGUGAGACUUGAUAACUUGAUAACUUGAUAAAUGCAUGAUGGAGAAAGCACAUAACCCUAACCCUAAUGUGACAUGCUACAUGCUACAUGCUACAUGCUACAUGGAGAGCUCUGAAGGUGAAGUGCUUGCUUUAUAACCGUGAUGGCCUUAAAGCAGUGUUCCUCUGGGCUCUGCGUCAGCUCUUGCCAUGAGUUUCUGCCAUGUGUGAGUUCUUGCCCCCCUGACCUCCUUCAGUGCUGGACUGUGAUCUGAAGCUGUAAGCCAGAAUAAACUGUCUCCCUCCAA
This is a long non-coding RNA of Rattus norvegicus (Norway rat), 5958 nucleotides long. RefSeq lists it as uncharacterized. NCBI's taxonomy places the organism in Eukaryota, Metazoa, Chordata, Mammalia, Rodentia, Muridae. The record is from RefSeq and is a predicted model, not a curated record.